RNAcentral lists this long non-coding RNA (975 nucleotides) under Nicotiana benthamiana. Its description in RNAcentral is "long non-coding RNA (NBEN_LNC002587)". The record is from RNAcentral. Lineage: Eukaryota; Viridiplantae; Streptophyta; Magnoliopsida; Solanales; Solanaceae.
AAGCUCAAGAAUCUAUUAUCCAAUUGUGGUUAACAUGAUUGGAUAAUAGAGCUAUCAGUUUAUCUGCAGUUGCAGCUCUGGCCGAAGGACCUUCAUCUUCUCCCUUGUUCAGUAGAUUGAACUAUCUACUGAUAUUGCUCCUGAGUAAAGAAAGGAGUUGGUGCUUGUUGCUGAGUCUGAAGUCCAUAUGGUGAAAUCAUCAUCUGCACUUGCUGAGGCACAUGCUAAAAUCCUGGUGAUGAGGACACUUGCAUUUGCUGUUGUCCACCUGUUAUUCCUUCUCCUCGGCCCUAUAAACCUCCAAAUUGCAUAUGCAUCUGAGUGUUUUGCCUUGGAGGAUUGCAGUUAGGAGCAGUGUUGACAUGAUUGGCAUAUGUUCCAGAGUUGCCCCCUUUCUUCUAUGUCUUAAAGUUAGACUUAAAGUCUUGAGCAUAUCCUAUUAACUUGAAACAAUUUCCCUUGGUGUGGCCAUUGUAGCUGCAAAACUCACAAACCAUUGUCUUCUUCGGGCUCUAAACUAUCCAUUGCCAGGGGUUGGAUUUUUGUUGCCAUACAGAGUAGUGAUGUCAGCAACUUCUGUUACUUGUACCAUUUGAGUGAAGUUUACCAGAUUCCUUUGGCUUUCCACAUACAUAAUAAGAGAAUAUGCCUUGUUAAUACUAGGCACUGGUGUCAUCAUCAUGAUUCGACUUCGAGCUUGAGAGUAAGUAUCAUUCAGUCCCAUGAGAAACUGAAUUAAUCUAUGAUACUCAAAAUUCUUAGCAUAUUUCUUUGAUUCUGGACAGGGACGAUCAAGACAUGACAUGAGGGCAUCAAACUAAUCCCAUAGAUCCCUUAGUUUAGAAAAGUAAUCAGCCACAUUAAUUGUUCCUUGAGUUAGUGUACGAAUCUCUCUAUGCAGGCAUAAAACCUUAGAUCCAUUUACUUUAUCAUACCUCUCCUUGAGAUCUUCCUACACCUUAUGAGCAUUAGAAG